CCUGGCUCAGGAGGAACGCUGGCGGCGUGCCUAACACAUGCAAGUUGAGCGAUUUACUUCGGUAAAGAGCGGCGGACGGGUGAGUAACGCGUGGGUAACCUACCCUGUACACACGGAUAACAUACCGAAAGGUAUGCUAAUACGGGAUAAUAUAUUUGAGAGGCAUCUCUUGAAUAUCAAAGGUGAGCCAGUACAGGAUGGACCCGCGUCUGAUUAGCUAGUUGGUAAGGUAACGGCUUACCAAGGCGACGAUCAGUAGCCGACCUGAGAGGGUGAUCGGCCACAUUGGAACUGAGACACGGUCCAAACUCCUACGGGAGGCAGCAGUGGGGAAUAUUGCACAAUGGGCGAAAGCCUGAUGCAGCAACGCCGCGUG
Molecule: ribosomal RNA, 376 nt
Filed under: Clostridioides difficile
Lineage: Bacteria; Bacillati; Bacillota; Clostridia; Peptostreptococcales; Peptostreptococcaceae
Description: bacterial SSU rRNA
Rfam family: Bacterial small subunit ribosomal RNA
Source: RNAcentral